RNAcentral lists this ribosomal RNA (449 nucleotides) under uncultured prokaryote. Its description in RNAcentral is "bacterial SSU rRNA". It matches the Rfam family "Bacterial small subunit ribosomal RNA", at positions 355 to 796 of the family's 1533-position model. The record is from RNAcentral.
UGGGGAAUAUUGCGCAAUGGGCGAAAGCCUGACGCAGCCAUGCCGCGUGUGUGAAGAAGGCUCUAGGGUUGUAAAGCACUUUCAGUGGGGAGGAAGGCCUGUAGAUUAAUACUCUGCAGGAUUGACGUUACCCACAGAAGAAGCACCGGCUAACUCCGUGCCAGCAGCCGCGGUAAUACGGAGGGUGCAAGCGUUAAUCGGAAUUACUGGGCGUAAAGCGCGCGUAGGCGGUUUGGUCAGUUGGAUGUGAAAGCCCCGGGCUCAACCUGGGAACUGCAUUCAAUACUGCCAGACUAGAGUAUGAGAGAGGGGGGUAGAAUUCCUAGUGUAGCGGUGAAAUGCGUAGAUAUUAGGAGGAAUACCAGUGGCGAAGGCGGCCCCCUGGCUUGAUACUGACGCUGAGGUGCGAAAGCGUGGGUAGCGAACAGGAUUAGAUACCCCCGUAGUCC